UACGGAGGAUGCAAGCGUUAUCCGGAUUUAUUGGGCGUAAAGCGUCCGUAGGCGGCUGGACAAGUCUGUUGUCAAAGCGUGCGGCUCAACCGCAUACGGGCAAUGGAAACUGUCGGGCUUGAGUGCGGGAGGGGUGACAGGAAUUCCCGGUGUAGCGGUGAAAUGCGUAGAUAUCGGGAAGAACGCCAGCGGCGAAAGCGUGUCACUGGGUCUGCACUGACACUGAGGGACGAAAGCUAGGGGAGCGAACAGG
This 253-nucleotide ribosomal RNA is filed under the name uncultured bacterium. Its description in RNAcentral is "partial 16S ribosomal RNA". It matches the Rfam family "Bacterial small subunit ribosomal RNA", at positions 524 to 776 of the family's 1533-position model. The record is from RNAcentral.